UACGUAGGCAGCAAGCGUUGUUCGGAAUUACUGGGCGUAAAGAGUGUGUAGGCGGUGCUCUAAGUUCGGUGUGAAAUCUCCCGCUUAACUGGGAGGGUGCGCCGGAAACUGGAGUGCUCGAGCGUGGGAGAGGAAAGCGGAAUUCCUGGUGUAGCGGUGAAAUGCGUAGAUAUCAGGAGGAACACCUGCGGUGUAGACGGCUUCUGGACCAUUGCUGACGCUGAGACACGAAAGCGUGGGUAGCAAACAGG
RNAcentral lists this ribosomal RNA (251 nucleotides) under uncultured bacterium. RNAcentral describes it as "partial 16S ribosomal RNA". It matches the Rfam family "Bacterial small subunit ribosomal RNA", at positions 524 to 776 of the family's 1533-position model. The record is from RNAcentral.